Molecule: ribosomal RNA, 253 nt
Filed under: uncultured bacterium
Lineage: Bacteria
Description: partial 16S ribosomal RNA
Rfam family: Bacterial small subunit ribosomal RNA
Source: RNAcentral
UACGUAGGGGGCAAGCGUUGUCCGGAUUUAUUGGGCGUAAAGAGCGUGUAGGCGGCCAAACAGGUCAGCUGUGAAAACUCGAGGCUCAACCUCGAGACGUCGGUUGAAACCGUAUGGCUAGAGUCCGGAAGAGGAGAGUGGAAUUCCUGGUGUAGCGGUGAAAUGCGCAGAUAUCAGGAAGAACACCCGUGGCUAAGGCGGCUCUCUAGUACGGUACUGACGCUGAGACGCGAAAGCGUGGGGAGCGAACAGG